RNAcentral lists this ribosomal RNA (288 nucleotides) under uncultured bacterium. RNAcentral describes it as "partial 16S ribosomal RNA". It matches the Rfam family "Bacterial small subunit ribosomal RNA", at positions 29 to 334 of the family's 1533-position model. The record is from RNAcentral.
AACGAACGCUGGCGGCAGGCUUAACACAUGCAAGUCGAACGAGAAACCAUCUUCGGAUGGCGGAAAGUGGCAAACGGGUGAGUAACACGUGGGAAUGUACCCCUUGGUUCGGGACAACAGUUGGAAACGACUGCUAAUACCGGAUAAGAACUACGGUUGAAAGAUUUAUCGCCGAGGGAUCAGCCCGCGCUAGAUUAGCUAGUUGGUAAGGUAAUGGCUUACCAAGGCUACGAUCUAUAGCAGGUUUGAGAGGAUGAUCUGCCACACUGGGACUGAGAUACGGCCCAG